Molecule: ribosomal RNA, 434 nt
Filed under: uncultured bacterium
Lineage: Bacteria
Description: partial 16S ribosomal RNA
Rfam family: Bacterial small subunit ribosomal RNA
Source: RNAcentral
AGCGAACGCUGGCGGCAUGCCUAACACAUGCAAGUCGAACGAACCUUUCGGGGUUAGUUGCGGACGGGUUAGUAACCCGACGGAAGGUUCCCUUGGGGUCGGAAUAACUCAGGGAAACUUGUGCUAAUACCGAAUGUGCCCUACGGGGGCAUGAUUUAUCGACUUUAGAGCGGACCGCUUCGGAUUAGCUAGUUCGUCGAUGUAAGGGCUCACCAAGGCGUAGUUGAGUAGCUGGUCUGGGAGGAUGAUCAGCCACAUUGGGACUGAGACACGGACGGAACUCCUACGGGAGGCAGAAGUGGGGACUGUUGCGCAAUGGGCGAGAGACUGACGCAGCCAGGUCGCGUGAAUGAUGAAGGUCUUAGGAUUGUAAAAUUCUUUCACCGGCGAAGAUAGUGACGGUAACCGGAGAAGAAGCCACGGCUAACUUCGUG